UACGUAGGGUGCGAGCGUUAAUCGGAAUUACUGGCGUAAAGCGUGCGCAGGCGGUUAUAUAAGACAGUUGUGAAAUCCCCGGGCUCAACCCUGGGAAUUGCAUCUGUGACUGUAUAGCUAGAGUACGGUAGAGGGGGAUGGAAUUCCGCGUGUAGCAGUGAAAUGCGUAGAUAUGCGGAGGAACACCGAUGGCGAAGGCAAUCCCCUGGACCUGUACUGACGCUCAUGCACGAAAGCGUGGGGAGCAAACAGG
This 253-nucleotide ribosomal RNA is filed under the name uncultured bacterium. RNAcentral describes it as "partial 16S ribosomal RNA". It matches the Rfam family "Bacterial small subunit ribosomal RNA", at positions 524 to 776 of the family's 1533-position model. The record is from RNAcentral.